Molecule: ribosomal RNA, 490 nt
Filed under: uncultured bacterium
Lineage: Bacteria
Description: partial 16S ribosomal RNA
Rfam family: Bacterial small subunit ribosomal RNA
Source: RNAcentral
AGUGAACGCUGGCGGUAGGCCUAACACAUGCAAGUCGAACGGCAGCACAGUAAGAGCUUGCUCUUACGGGUGGCGAGUGGCGGACGGGUGAGGAAUACAUCGGAAUCUACUUUUUCGUGGGGGAUAACGUAGGGAAACUUACGCUAAUACCGCAUACGACCUACGGGUGAAAGCAGGGGAUCUUCGGACCUUGCGCGAUUGAAUGAGCCGAUGUCGGAUUAGCUAGUUGGCGGGGUAAGCCCACCAAGGCGACGAUCCGUAGCUGGUCUGAGAGGAUGAUCAGCCACACUGGAACUGAGACACGGUCCAGACUCCUACGGGAGGCAGCAGUGGGGAAUAUUGGACAAUGGGCGCAAGCCUGAUCCAGCCAUACCGCGUGGGUGAAGAAGGCCUUCGGGUUGUAAAGCCCUUUUGUUGGGAAAGAAAAGCAGCAGGUUAAUACCCCGCUGUUCUGACGGUACCCAAAGAAUAAGCACCGGCUAACUUCGUG